Unclassified non-coding RNA from Mesocricetus auratus (golden hamster), 304 nucleotides. Its record names the gene 7SK. It matches the Rfam family "7SK RNA". From Rfam's summary of the family: 7SK was discovered as an abundant small nuclear RNA in the mid-70s but a possible function has only recently been suggested. Two independent studies have found that 7SK RNA binds the CDK9/cyclin T complex (known as elongation factor P-TEFb). The record is from Ensembl. Lineage: Eukaryota; Metazoa; Chordata; Mammalia; Rodentia; Cricetidae.
GCUUCUGCAAUCUGGCUUCUAUAUCUAUCAGCCCAUUGAUCACCAGGGUUGAUUCAGUUUAUCUAACUAGCUAGACAGAUGCCCCCUUCCUCCAUCACUGCUCCAUAUGCAUCCCUCCCAAAGCUGCUCAAUCUUUCCUGAAUAGAGGAGGACUGAUCUUCUGUCAACGGUAUGUGAGUAGCUAUGCUCCCCUGCUAGAACCUCUAAACUAGCUCCACACAAUUUUUAAAGGGCUCAAAUGGAACCAACCAUUGCAGAAAAGUUCAAAUCACCAGCCUGUGCAGAUAGCAUUAUCAUGAUUGCU